Molecule: ribosomal RNA, 301 nt
Filed under: uncultured bacterium
Lineage: Bacteria
Description: partial 16S ribosomal RNA
Rfam family: Bacterial small subunit ribosomal RNA
Source: RNAcentral
CAGUAGCCGCGGUAAUACGUAGGGUGCGAGCGUUAAUCGGAAUUACUGGGCGUAAAGCGUGCGCAGGCGGUUGUGUAAGACAGGUGUGAAAUCCCCGGGCCUAACCUGGGAACUGCGCUUGUGACUGCACAGCUAGAGUAUGGCAGAGGGGGGUGGAAUUCCACGUGUAGCAGUGAAAUGCGUAGAGAUGUGGAGGAACACCGAUGGCGAAGGCAGCCCCCUGGGCCAAUACUGACGCUCAUGCACGAAAGCGUGGGGAGCAAACAGGAUUAGAUACCCGCGUAGUCCCUGUCUCUUAUAC